This 244-nucleotide unclassified non-coding RNA is filed under the name Scedosporium boydii. RNAcentral describes it as "partial internal transcribed spacer region". The stretch from base 1 to 46 matches the Rfam family "Eukaryotic small subunit ribosomal RNA", at positions 1786 to 1831 of the family's 1831-position model. Lineage: Eukaryota; Fungi; Ascomycota; Sordariomycetes; Microascales; Microascaceae. The record is from RNAcentral. RNAcentral also lists the same sequence under 1 other name.
AAGUCGUAACAAGGUCUCCGUUGGUGAACCAGCGGAGGGAUCAUUACAGAGUUACUACUCCAAACCCAUUGUGAACCUUACCUAUGUUCUGUUGCCUCGGCGGCGUCGGUCAGCGCCCCUCUGAGAAGAGGACGAUGCCCCUCCCGCCGGCAGCACCAAACUCUUGAAUUUUACAGCGGAUUACAGUUCUGAUUUGAAAACAAAAAACAAGUUAAAACUUUCAACAACGGAUCUCUUGGUUCUG